RNAcentral lists this ribosomal RNA (1347 nucleotides) under uncultured bacterium. Its description in RNAcentral is "16S ribosomal RNA". It matches the Rfam family "Bacterial small subunit ribosomal RNA". The record is from RNAcentral.
CUAGUGAUUAGAGUUUGAUCAUGGCUCAGGAUGAACGCUGGCGGCGUGCUUAACACAUGCAAGUCGAACGAACCUUCGGGUUAGUGGCGGACGGGUGAGUAACGCGUGGGAAUCUGCCCUCAGGAGGGGGAUAACGGCUGGAAACGGCCGCUAAUACCCCAUAUGCCGAGAGGUGAAAUGAAUUUCGCCUGAGGAUGAGCCCGCGUCUGAUUAGCUAGUUGGUGAGGUAAGAGCUCACCAAGGCAUCGAUCAGUAGCUGGUCUGAGAGGAUGAUCAGCCACACUGGGACUGAGACACGGCCCAGACUCCUACGGGAGGCAGCAGUGGGGAAUUUUCCGCAAUGGGCGAAAGCCUGACGGAGCAACGCCGCGUGAGGGAUGAAGGCCUCUGGGCUGUAAACCUCUUUUCUCAAGGAAGAAGAUCUGACGGUACUUGAGGAAUAAGCCACGGCUAAUUCCGUGCCAGCAGCCGCGGUAAUACGGGAGUGGCAAGCGUUAUCCGGAAUUAUUGGGCGUAAAGCGUCCGCAGGCGGCCCUUCAAGUCUGCUGUUAAAAAGUGGAGCUUAACUCCAUCAUGGCAGUGGAAACUGUUGGGCUUGAGUGUGGUAGGGGCAGAGGGAAUUCCCGGUGUAGCGGUGAAAUGCGUAGAUAUCGGGAAGAACACCAGUGGCGAAGGCGCUCUGCUGGGCCAUAACUGACGCUCAUGGACGAAAGCCAGGGGAGCGAAAGGGAUUAGAUACCCCUGUAGUCCUGGCCGUAAACGAUGAACACUAGGUGUCGGGGGAAUCGACCCCCUCGGUGUCGUAGCCAACGCGUUAAGUGUUCCGCCUGGGGAGUACGCACGCAAGUGUGAAACUCAAAGGAAUUGACGGGGGCCCGCACAAGCGGUGGAGUAUGUGGUUUAAUUCGAUGCAACGCGAAGAACCUUACCAGGGUUUGACAUCCUGCGAACCUCUUGGAAACGAGAGGGUGCCUUCGGGAACGCAGUGACAGGUGGUGCAUGGCUGUCGUCAGCUCGUGUCGUGAGAUGUUGGGUUAAGUCCCGCAACGAGCGCAACCCACGUCUUUAGUUGCCAGCAUUCAGUUGGGCACUCUAGAGAGACCGCCGGUGAUAAACCGGAGGAAGGUGUGGAUGACGUCAAGUCAUCAUGCCCCUUACAUCCUGGGCUACACACGUACUACAAUGCUACGGACAAAGAGCAGCAAGUUCGCGAGGACAAGCAAAUCUCAUAAACCGUGGCUCAGUUCAGAUCGUAGGCUGCAACUCGCCUACGUGAAGGAGGAUCGCUAGUAAUCGCAGGUCAGCAUACUGCGGUGAAUACGUUCCCGGGCCUUGUAGACACCGCCC